Non-coding RNA from Salmo salar (Atlantic salmon), 65 nucleotides. The record is from Rfam. Lineage: Eukaryota; Metazoa; Chordata; Actinopteri; Salmoniformes; Salmonidae.
UCUAGUCCCCUGUGGUAGAGGAUGGCGCUUGCAAUGCCAGGGUUGUGGGUUCAAUUCCCACUGGA